AAACCCAAAGGCGAAAUGAAAGUAAAGAGUUGAGUUUAUAAAAAAGAAUUUAUUUUUUUUUUAUUUCUCUCUUUAGGGAAGAUGAAAAUAUUAUUUAUAAUCUAUUUAUAGGUUGUUUAUUAAUAUUUUUCGCAUUCCCAGGGCGCUUGUUUCACGCUUUGCGUGUCGAUGCGCACCUAGAGCGUACACGCUGAUACCCGAAAGAUGGUGAACUAUGCCUGGCCAGGACGAAGCCAGGGGAAACCCUGGUGGAGGUCCGCAGCGAUUCUGACGUGCAAAUCGAUCGUCGGAGCUGGGUAUAGGGGCGAAAGACCAAUCGAACCAUCUAGUAGCUGGUUCCCUCUGAAGUUUCCCUCAGGAUAGCUUGCGCUUGUCUUAUGAGUCUCAUCCGGUAGAGCGAAUGAUUAGAGGCAUUGGGGUCGAAACGACCUCAACCUAUUCUCAAACUCCAAAUAGAUGAGACCCCCGGCUU
RNAcentral lists this ribosomal RNA (472 nucleotides) under Atopozelus sp. 00001514. RNAcentral describes it as "partial 28S ribosomal RNA". It matches the Rfam family "Eukaryotic large subunit ribosomal RNA", at positions 704 to 1088 of the family's 3401-position model. Lineage: Eukaryota; Metazoa; Arthropoda; Insecta; Hemiptera; Reduviidae. The record is from RNAcentral.